Molecule: ribosomal RNA, 1346 nt
Filed under: Clostridium sp. A254.MGS-251
Lineage: Bacteria; Bacillati; Bacillota; Clostridia; Eubacteriales; Clostridiaceae
Description: bacterial LSU rRNA
Rfam family: Bacterial large subunit ribosomal RNA
Source: RNAcentral
UGACCCGGGCGUAAGGGACCGAAAAUAAGUAGGGAAGCAUGCUUGGAUGGUGGCGAGAAAAGCUUCGUGUAUAUAAGCAGGGUACCCGUACUGCAAACCGACACAGGUAGUCAGGAAGAGGAUUCUAAGGCCAUCGGGAGAAGCGUUGUUAAGGAACUCGGCAAAUUGACCCCGUAACUUCGGAAUAAGGGGUGCUCACGCGAGUGAGCCGCAGUGAAUAGGUCCAGGCAACUGUUUAUCAAAAACACAGCUCUCUGCUAAAUCGUAAGAUGACGUAUAGGGGGUGACACCUGCCCGGUGCUGGAAGGUUAAGAGGAGGGGUGCAAGCUCCGAAUUGAAGCCCCAGUAAACGGCGGCCGUAACUAUAACGGUCCUAAGGUAGCGAAAUUCCUUGUCGGGUAAGUUCCGACCCGCACGAAUGGUGUAAUGAUCUGGAUACUGUCUCAACAACGCACCCGGCGAAAUUGUAGUACCGGUGAAGAUGCCGGUUACCCGCGGCAAGACGGAAAGACCCCAUGGAGCUUCACUGUAGCCUGAUAUUGGGUCUCGGUAUUUUAUGUACAGGAUAGGCGGGAGACUUGGAAACCAGCACGCCAGUGUUGGCGGAGUCACCCUUGGGAUACCGCUCUUAAAGUAUUGAGAUUCUAACCUGCAGCCAUGAAUCUGGCUGGGGGACAUUGUCAGGUGGGCAGUUUGACUGGGGCGGUCGCCUCCAAAAGAGUAACGGAGGCGUUCAAAGGUUCACUCAGCAUGGACGGAAACCAUGCCUUAGAGUGCAAACGCAUAAGUGAGCCUAACUGCGAGACUGACGGGUCGAGCAGUAACGAAAGUUGGAGUUAGUGAUCCGGCGGUAUGUGAGUGGAAAUGCCGUCGCUCAACGGAUAAAAGCUACCCUGGGGAUAACAGGCUGAUCUCCCCCAAGAGUCCACAUCGACGGGGAGGUUUGGCACCUCGAUGUCGGCUCAUCGCAUCCUGGGGCUGAAUUCGGUCCCAAGGGUUUGGCUGUUCGCCAAUUAAAGCGGUACGCGAGCUGGGUUCAGAACGUCGUGAGACAGUUCGGUCCCUAUCUGUCGUGGGCGUAGGAUAUUUGAAAGGAGCUGUCCCUAGUACGAGAGGACCGGGAUGGACGCACCUCUGGUGCACCAGUUGUCACGCCAGUGGCACGGCUGGGCAGCUAAGUGCGGAACGGAUAAACGCUGAAAGCAUCUAAGCGUGAAGCCGACCUUAAGAUAAGAUAUCCGUUCUUCGGAAUAAGACCCCUUGUAGACUACGAGGUUGAUAGGCUUAAAGUGUAAGCAUGGUGACAUGUUUAGCUUGCAAGUACUAAUCGGUCGAUUGCUUUUCCU